Molecule: ribosomal RNA, 123 nt
Filed under: Cavia aperea (Brazilian guinea pig)
Lineage: Eukaryota; Metazoa; Chordata; Mammalia; Rodentia; Caviidae
Source: RNAcentral
GUCUAUGGCCAUACCACCCUGAACGCGCCUGAUCUCGUCUGAUCUCGGAAGCUAAGCAGGGUCGGGCCUGGUUAGUACUUGGAUGGGAGACUUUAUGUUUUCAGUGCAUGCAUUUUACAGUCU